This 71-nucleotide transfer RNA is filed under the name Cynoglossus abbreviatus (three-lined tongue sole). RNAcentral describes it as "tRNA-Gln". It matches the Rfam family "tRNA". Rfam says of the family: Transfer RNA (tRNA) molecules are approximately 80 nucleotides in length. Their secondary structure includes four short double-helical elements and three loops (D, anti-codon, and T loops). Further hydrogen bonds mediate the characteristic L-shaped molecular structure. tRNAs have two regions of fundamental functional importance: the anti-codon, which is responsible for specific mRNA codon recognition, and the 3' end, to which the tRNAs corresponding amino acid is attached (by aminoacyl-tRNA synthetases). tRNAs cope with the degeneracy of the genetic code in two manners: having more than one tRNA (with a specific anti-codon) for a particular amino acid; and 'wobble' base-pairing, i.e. permitting non-standard base-pairing at the 3rd anti-codon position. The record is from RNAcentral. Lineage: Eukaryota; Metazoa; Chordata; Actinopteri; Pleuronectiformes; Cynoglossidae.
UAGAGAGUAGUGUACUGGAAGCACGAAGAGUUUUGAUCUCUUAAGAAAAGGUCCAAAUCCUUUCUCCCUAA